This 2753-nucleotide ribosomal RNA is filed under the name Salmonella enterica subsp. enterica serovar Typhimurium. RNAcentral describes it as "partial 23S ribosomal RNA". It matches the Rfam family "Bacterial large subunit ribosomal RNA". The record is from RNAcentral. Lineage: Bacteria; Pseudomonadati; Pseudomonadota; Gammaproteobacteria; Enterobacterales; Enterobacteriaceae.
GAUACCCGAAUGGGGAAACCCAGUGUGAUUCGUCACACUAUCAUUAACUGAAUCCAUAGGUUAAUGAGGCGAACCGGGGGAACUGAAACAUCUAAGUACCCCGAGGAAAAGAAAUCAACCGAGAUUCCCCCAGUAGCGGCGAGCGAACGGGGAGGAGCCCAGAGCCUGAAUCAGCAUGUGUGUUAGUGGAAGCGUCUGGAAAGGCGCGCGAUACAGGGUGACAGCCCCGUACACAAAAGCGCAUGUGCUGUGAGCUCGAUGAGUAGGGCGGGACACGUGGUAUCCUGUCUGAAUAUGGGGGGACCAUCCUCCAAGGCUAAAUACUCCUGACUGACCGAUAGUGAACCAGUACCGUGAGGGAAAGGCGAAAAGAACCCCGGCGAGGGGAGUGAAAAAGAACCUGAAACCGUGUACGUACAAGCAGUGGGAGCACCCUUCGGGGUGUGACUGCGUACCUUUUGUAUAAUGGGUCAGCGACUUAUAUUCUGUAGCAAGGUUAACCGUAUAGGGGAGCCGGAGGGAAACCGAGUCUUAAUUGGGCGUUAAGUUGCAGGGUAUAGACCCGAAACCCGGUGAUCUAGCCAUGGGCAGGUUGAAGGUUGGGUAACACUAACUGGAGGACCGAACCGACUAAUGUUGAAAAAUUAGCGGAUGACCUGUGGCUGGGGGUGAAAGGCCAAUCAAACCGGGAGAUAGCUGGUUCUCCCCGAAAGCUAUUUAGGUAGCGCCUCGUGAAUUCAUCUCCGGGGGUAGAGCACUGUUUCGGCUAGGGGGCCAUCCCGGCUUACCAACCCGAUGCAAACUGCGAAUACCGGAGAAUGUUAUCACGGGAGACACACGGCGGGUGCUAACGUCCGUCGUGAAGAGGGAAACAACCCAGACCGCCAGCUAAGGUCCCAAAGUCAUGGUUAAGUGGGAAACGAUGUGGGAAGGCCCAGACAGCCAGGAUGUUGGCUUAGAAGCAGCCAUCAUUUAAAGAAAGCGUAAUAGCUCACUGGUCGAGUCGGCCUGCGCGGAAGAUGUAACGGGGCUAAACCAUGCACCGAAGCUGCGGCAGCGAACGUAUCACCCAAGACAACUUUACGGAGUUGACGAUUGACGGAGCGAAGCGACGUCAAAGCGUUCAUUAAAGUCGAGUUGGCUUAGGGAUACGUUCGUUGGGUAGGGGAGCGUUCUGUAAGCCUGUGAAGGUGUGUCGUGAGGCAUGCUGGAGGUAUCAGAAGUGCGAAUGCUGACAUAAGUAACGAUAAAGCGGGUGAAAAGCCCGCUCGCCGGAAGACCAAGGGUUCCUGUCCAACGUUAAUCGGGGCAGGGUGAGUCGACCCCUAAGGCGAGGCCGAAAGGCGUAGUCGAUGGGAAACGGGUUAAUAUUCCCGUACUUGGUGUUACUGCGAAGGGGGGACGGAGAAGGCUAUGUUGGCCGGGCGACGGUUGUCCCGGUUUAAGCGUGUAGGUGUGUGUUCCAGGUAAAUCCGGUUCACUUUAACACUGAGGCGUGACGACGAGGCACUACGGUGCUGAAGCAACAAAUGCCCUGCUUCCAGGAAAAGCCUCUAAGCAUCAGGUAACACGAAAUCGUACCCCAAACCGACACAGGUGGUCAGGUAGAGAAUACCAAGGCGCUUGAGAGAACUCGGGUGAAGGAACUAGGCAAAAUGGUGCCGUAACUUCGGGAGAAGGCACGCUGACACGUAGGUGAAGUGAUUUACUCAUGGAGCUGAAGUCAGUCGAAGAUACCAGCUGGCUGCAACUGUUUAUUAAAAACACAGCACUGUGCAAACACGAAAGUGGACGUAUACGGUGUGACGCCUGCCCGGUGCCGGAAGGUUAAUUGAUGGGGUCAGCGCAAGCGAAGCUCCUGAUCGAAGCCCCGGUAAACGGCGGCCGUAACUAUAACGGUCCUAAGGUAGCGAAAUUCCUUGUCGGGUAAGUUCCGACCUGCACGAAUGGCGUAAUGAUGGCCAGGCUGUCUCCACCCGAGACUCAGUGAAAUUGAACUCGCUGUGAAGAUGCAGUGUACCCGCGGCAAGACGGAAAGACCCCGUGAACCUUUACUAUAGCUUGACACUGAACAUUGAGCCUUGAUGUGUAGGAUAGGUGGGAGGCUUUGAAGUGUGGACGCCAGUCUGCAUGGAGCCGACCUUGAAAUACCACCCUUUAAUGUUUGAUGUUCUAACGUGGACCCGUAAUCCGGGUUGCGGACAGUGUCUGGUGGGUAGUUUGACUGGGGCGGUCUCCUCCUAAAGAGUAACGGAGGAGCACGAAGGUUGGCUAAUCCUGGUCGGACAUCAGGAGGUUAGUGCAAUGGCAUAAGCCAGCUUGACUGCGAGCGUGACGGCGCGAGCAGGUGCGAAAGCAGGUCAUAGUGAUCCGGUGGUUCUGAAUGGAAGGGCCAUCGCUCAACGGAUAAAAGGUACUCCGGGGAUAACAGGCUGAUACCGCCCAAGAGUUCAUAUCGACGGCGGUGUUUGGCACCUCGAUGUCGGCUCAUCACAUCCUGGGGCUGAAGUAGGUCCCAAGGGUAUGGCUGUUCGCCAUUUAAAGUGGUACGCGAGCUGGGUUUAGAACGUCGUGAGACAGUUCGGUCCCUAUCUGCCGUGGGCGCUGGAGAACUGAGGGGGGCUGCUCCUAGUACGAGAGGACCGGAGUGGACGCAUCACUGGUGUUCGGGUUGUCAUGCCAAUGGCACUGCCCGGUAGCUAAAUGCGGAAGAGAUAAGUGCUGAAAGCAUCUAAGCACGAAACUUGCCCCGA